AUGAGUAUCAUAUGUUGGAAUUAUCGCGGUUUGGGCAACCCCGCGACAGUUCGAGAGGUUCGCGAGUUAGCGACCAAAUUUCCCCCGGCCGUGUUGUGUUUAGUGGAGACUCAAUUGCAAAGUGCACGUGCUGAAGUUUUAGCUCUUACUUUUGGUUACAAUAAAUCCUUUUCAGUUAGCAGUAGCCGUAGAAGUGGGGGCCUUGUAAUUUAUUGGAAUGAUGAAAUAAAACUUAAAGUUUCUGGUUAUUCGAGAUAUCACAUUGAUGCAAAGAUUUCGGACCUUGGACCUGUUCCUUGGAGGCUCUCUUGCAUAUAUGGCAAAGCACAAGUUCCUGAAAGAUAUAAAACAUGGGAUACACUGCACUUGGCAGCGACGACGGGUGAUCCGUGGGUUGUCAUAGGUGAUUUCAAUGAGCUUCUCCAUCAUUCAGAGUAUGAAGGGGUCGGCCAGAGGAGCCAGGCCCAGCUAGAUGAUUUCAGAGAUGCGCUUGAUGUGUGCGGUAGGCUGAGGAAACAAUCCAUUUGCGCAUUCACGACUGAGAAGGAGAGCUGA
Molecule: ribosomal RNA, 555 nt
Filed under: Triticum aestivum (bread wheat)
Lineage: Eukaryota; Viridiplantae; Streptophyta; Magnoliopsida; Poales; Poaceae
Description: partial small subunit ribosomal RNA
Source: RNAcentral